This 1796-nucleotide long non-coding RNA is filed under the name Lepisosteus oculatus (spotted gar). Its description in RNAcentral is "lncRNA (ENSLOCG00000022074.1)". Lineage: Eukaryota; Metazoa; Chordata; Actinopteri; Semionotiformes; Lepisosteidae. The record is from RNAcentral.
GAGAUGCCUUUUGUAAUAUGUUAGAUCUAAAGUGGAACAAGCAACUCAAUACAUUUGUAAGGAGAGUGUGUGAAAGCCAAGCAGAAUGACUUCAGUCUCAAACACAAGAUAUUUAGCCAUUUUGGAGUAAACUGAGUUUUUUUAAUCAGUAAAUAGAACAUUUUACACACAAUACUACAUUGUUCCUAAAUGCUAUGCACAUAAUAACCUACAGGUUGCACAACAGCAUGGUGGUGACCACUGCUGCCUCAGCUGUGGGGUUCUGGGUCCAGCUCUGGACUGGGCUGCGUAUCUGCCAGGUCUCCUCACAGCUACGAAGCCCACAGCCUCACACAGUGGGGAAUGAGGGCGAGUAGGUUCACUGCUCUGACCCUCCCACCUGUGGGUGUAUCACCUCCGACUGGAGGAUCGGGUUGGCCGCCAUCUUCCCCACCCUAACCUCCUGGUCACAGUCAGCAAGUGACAUGAUCAAGUCACGGGAGGCCCUGCUGAUUUUCAGCCUGGAUUGAAGACGGAACUGCUGAAUGCUGUACAGGAGAUGGCAGAAUACCUCAUCCUCCUCUGUCUUCAAGAUCUCUCUAGACUGAAGAUACACUGCAGGAGGAUCUGUCCUCACCUUGUACGUGUUUCCUUUUAUCAUCUCCGUCGACCCAGCCCAGCUAUCCCGGAUGAGAACAUUAUCCUGGGGCUCACAGCUGCAAUACACAGAAACUCAGUGAUGUUGACAAGUAGAGGAAGAAAGGAGGAAAAGAGGUGGGACCGUGUUAAGAAGGAAAAGGAGAACAGGGCCGUGAAAUAUUAAUAUUUUUACAACAUAACCACUUUAACAGAAAAUUAAGUCAGAAAAACAGGUUUUCUGAAGUUAUUGCUAUUAGUGCCACUACAGAGACAAGGAAGAAGUGACUGAGAAGGAUAAGAAUGAUCCUACCAACCUUGGGAGGAACAAGCAGGUGUGGGAGUGGGGGGUAACAGCAAAAAGAUGGGGAGAAAGAGAAUGAGAGAGAAUUGGCCAUGUAGGUCUGAGGGUUCAGAUGUGGGUUGAGGCCCUGCUGUCGUGACCCUGAGCUCCCCUCAGAUUCAAAAUGCCAAACUGUCUUAACAUGUACAAAUGUAAGUUUCUGUAGAUAAAAGUGCCAGCCAAAUACACGUAGAAAUUAAACAAAGAGAUGAAGAACGAGGGCGUGAAGAAGACUGAAUGGUGGUAAGCAAACAGAGAUGAGCAUCACAAGAAUGGAAAGGGGAGGAGGAUGGGAGAAGUGAAGGAAUCAGGACAAGAAAAACAGGAAUGGAAGUUAAAGAGCAGGAACAUGUUCAGCAAUAAAAUGCCAAGAACAAGCCGUGAGAAGCAGGAGAAUAGAAAAUCACAACCACCAAACAAAUAACUAGGAUAGAGAGGGUGAGGCGAAGAAGAAGAGACAACAGAAAAGGAGAAGCAGAAGAAACAGUAAAGAAAGAUGCAGCUACAACAUACAUGAUAAUAGCAAUAGAUCCUUUGAUCCCAUUGUUGAGCCGAACGCCUGGAUUUGAGGGUAGCUUUGAUACCAGAUGUCCACGAUCAGAACUGCCAGUGCAGAUGGAAAAGCAGUGGGGAACUUUCUACUGAAUGUAGGAACACAAAUGUCUUCUUUUUUCAAUUCCAUAUCAGCACACAUGUCUUUUUUUAUGUAACUGAAUUCUGUCAAGUUGUUUGCCUCAUUAAAGGUCAACAUUUCUCUCUGUUUAAAGAAAUAAACUAACAAACAGCGGAAAUCCACAGCUGUGGAAAUGUUUUGAUGAUGGAGGCGUUCUAAUCAAAC